This 70-nucleotide transfer RNA is filed under the name Camelus bactrianus (Bactrian camel). It matches the Rfam family "tRNA". From Rfam's summary of the family: Transfer RNA (tRNA) molecules are approximately 80 nucleotides in length. Their secondary structure includes four short double-helical elements and three loops (D, anti-codon, and T loops). Lineage: Eukaryota; Metazoa; Chordata; Mammalia; Artiodactyla; Camelidae. The record is from Rfam by way of RNAcentral. RNAcentral also lists the same sequence under 1 other name.
GGGGGUGGUUCAGUGGUAGGGCACUUGCUUAGCGUGCAUGAGGUCCUGGGUUCAAUCCCCAGUACCUCCA